Molecule: ribosomal RNA, 526 nt
Filed under: uncultured bacterium
Lineage: Bacteria
Description: partial 16S ribosomal RNA
Source: RNAcentral
GGAGUUAGCCGGUGCUUCUUCUGUGAGUGAUGUCCUUCCUGCCGGCUAUUAACCCGCAGGCCUUCUUCCUCACUGAAAGUGCUUUACAACCCGAAGGCCUUCUUCACACACGCGGCAUGGCUGGAUCAGGGUUGCCCCCAUUGUCCAAUAUUCCCCACUGCUGCCUCCCGUAGGAGUCUGGGCCGUGUCUCAGUCCCAGUGUGGCUGAUCAUCCUCUCAGACCAGCUACGGAUCGUCGCCUUGGUGAGCCGUUACCUCACCAACCAGCUAAUCCGACAUAGGCUCAUCCGAUAGCGCGAGGCCCGAAGGUCCCCCGCUUUCCCCCGUAGGGCGUAUGCGGUAUUAGCCUGGGUUUCCCCAGGUUAUCCCCCACUACCGGGCAGAUUCCUAUGCAUUACUCACCCGUCCGCCGCUCGCCACCAGGGAGCAAGCUCCCCGUGCUGCCGCUCGACUUGCAUGUGUAGCUCGCCGCCACGCGUCAUCUGAGCAGANACACACUCACAGAGCGGCGUCGCGACGACGCGCA